Molecule: ribosomal RNA, 483 nt
Filed under: Vibrio parahaemolyticus
Lineage: Bacteria; Pseudomonadati; Pseudomonadota; Gammaproteobacteria; Vibrionales; Vibrionaceae
Description: bacterial SSU rRNA
Rfam family: Bacterial small subunit ribosomal RNA
Source: RNAcentral
AAAUUGAAGAGUUUGAUCAUGGCUCAGAUUGAACGCUGGCGGCAGGCCUAACACAUGCAAGUCGAGCGGAAACGAGUUAUCUGAACCUUCGGGGAACGAUAACGGCGUCGAGCGGCGGACGGGUGAGUAAUGCCUAGGAAAUUGCCCUGAUGUGGGGGAUAACCAUUGGAAACGAUGGCUAAUACCGCAUGAUGCCUACGGGCCAAAGAGGGGGACCUUCGGGCCUCUCGCGUCAGGAUAUGCCUAGGUGGGAUUAGCUAGUUGGUGAGGUAAGGGCUCACCAAGGCGACGAUCCCUAGCUGGUCUGAGAGGAUGAUCAGCCACACUGGAACUGAGACACGGUCCAGACUCCUACGGGAGGCAGCAGUGGGGAAUAUUGCACAAUGGGCGCAAGCCUGAUGCAGCCAUGCCGCGUGUGUGAAGAAGGCCUUCGGGUUGUAAAGCACUUUCAGUCGUGAGGAAGGCGGGUACGUUAAUAGCGUA